UACGUAGGCAGCAAGCGUUGUUCGGAGUUACUGGGCGUAAAGGGUGUGUAGGCGGUUAUUUAAGUUUGGUGUGAAAUCUCCCGGCUCAACCGGGAGGGUGCGCCGAAUACUGAAUGACUUGGAGUGCGGGAGAGGAAAGUGGAAUUCCUGGUGUAGCGGUGAAAUGCGUAGAUAUCGGGAGGAACACCCGUGGCGAAGGCGGCUUUCUGGACCACUACUGACGCUGAGGCACGAAAGCCGGGGGAGCAAACAGG
Molecule: ribosomal RNA, 254 nt
Filed under: uncultured bacterium
Lineage: Bacteria
Description: partial 16S ribosomal RNA
Rfam family: Bacterial small subunit ribosomal RNA
Source: RNAcentral